Enterococcus faecalis 13-SD-W-01 is the source of this 368-nucleotide non-coding RNA. The record is from Rfam. Lineage: Bacteria; Bacillati; Bacillota; Bacilli; Lactobacillales; Enterococcaceae.
GGGGACGUUACGGAUUCGACAGGCAUAGUUCGAGCUUGAAUUGCGCUUCGUAGGUUACGUCUACGCAAAAACGUUACAGUUAAAUAUAACUGCUAAAAACGAAAACAACUCUUACGCUUUAGCUGCCUAAAAACAGUUAACGUAGAUCCUCUCGGCAUCGCCCAUGUGCUCGAGUAAGGGUCCUAAAUUUAGUGGGAUACGCUAGAUUUUUCCGUCUGUAAAAUCUAGAAGAGCAUAUCAGACUAGCAAUGCAAAUCGCCCGUUCUCCGGCAGUCUGCAGAGCGAAUCUUCAAUAGGAGCAACUAUGAGCGUAGAUUUUUGAGUGUCGAUAUGUUUGGACGCGGGUUCGACUCCCGCCGUCUCCAUUC